RNAcentral lists this ribosomal RNA (253 nucleotides) under uncultured bacterium. RNAcentral describes it as "partial 16S ribosomal RNA". It matches the Rfam family "Bacterial small subunit ribosomal RNA", at positions 524 to 776 of the family's 1533-position model. The record is from RNAcentral.
UACGUAGGUGGCAAGCGUUGUCCGGAAUUAUUGGGCGUAAAGCGCGCGCAGGCGGCCUCUUAAGUCUGAUGUGAAAGCCCACGGCUCAACCGUGGAGGGUCAUUGGAAACUGGGGGACUUGAGUACAGAAGAGGAAAGCGGAAUUCCACGUGUAGCGGUGAAAUGCGUAGAGAUGUGGAGGAACACCAGUGGCGAAGGCGGCUUUCUGGUCUGUAACUGACGCUGAGGCGCGAAAGCGUGGGGAGCAAACAGG